CUUCUGGAAUGAUUUGAUAUUACUCUGUAUAGGCAGAGGCCUGAAGCCUUCUGAUAUGGGCAUCAGACACAACACAUGAGCAGGUGAAGAUAUGACACUUCAUUUCCCUUUCAAAGUACAAAUCUAAAGGAAAUUCUUCAGCCAUAAGCAAUGUGGCUUUGAGAAGUUUCAGUUUGCAUCCUUUUACUGAAGAUCAAGUACUCAGAUCACAUACUUUGAAUGUGUUUGAUUGUCUUAGCUGCCUUUUGAAUUUAGGGCUUCUAGAGAAGUUUUCUCAUGUGGGUGGCAUGGUUUUAUUCUACACAGCAUACAAGGGUUUGGUGUUUGUGUUCCAUGUGACUUAAAAUUCAGCAGAACUUCCUCAGCAGUAUAUUUUACUCUUCUGCCAGCUGUAGGGAUUAUUUCUUAUUUGCAUUAUUAUAUGCAAACAGAACAUUAAUAUUUGAAACAUGUUUUUUGCAAAUUAUUGAUAUUAUUGAAAUGUCAUCUUUUUAAACGAGCUUUACUUAAGAAUCUGUCUACAUUUUUUUAAAUGCAAGUUUCUGAUUUUUUUUAACUUUGAAGGUUAGAAUAAGAGUCAAUUGAGUCAUCUAAGAUCUUAGAAACAACUAUUAUAAGAUGUGAAUAAUUUCAUCUUCUCUGUUGGAGCCCCAUGAAUUUAUACAGCUGACUGCAGUCUCAGGGAAGCUAACACUUCAGCAUAGCGUGGUGCAGAGCAAUGUAGAAAUCCCUGCUUUGUAUCCAAAAUCAGGGUAUCCUUUGGUUAUUCCUGGGUUAGUGAGUGCUCUUUCUUCAUAUGCAUGAUACACCAGUGGUACAGCUAGGCUGCUUUCCCUUCUGCAGCAAGGUAAUUCAGGACAAAUUCAGGGGUCUUCUGUGGCACAAAACAGCCAUUCUCAUGGCUGGCACAUUUUGUUCCAUUUCUGUGUCUGGUUGGUACAGUCUGUGUGGGGUUCUUUUUAACUUACUCUUUGCCUGCUUUUAUAUAGAUAAGUAAAAAGUUACAAAAUAUACUUUUUGUUCUGUGUGCAGUUUGCACAUGCACUGAGGGAGCAGGAGGCUCCAGAUGAACACACUGAAGUGUGCUCAGCCUGGACACCUGAGCAGCACCUGAAGCUUGAGGACUACUGGCAUAGACUGUGGACUCAUACCUUUACUGGUACAUUCUAUUACCAGGCUACCUAAUGAUAAAUCCAGAUCAGAACUUAGCAUUUUCCUGACUUAAGCCUGCUGAGGAAUACUGCUAUAUGUGAGUGGGGUAUUCUUGUUUUUCUGCUGUGAGAGUUAAAAAAAAUUCGUCAUUGUGUAAACACUGUGAAAGAAAAAUUAGCUAUCCCAUCUGCUUUCCUCUGACUAACAUUUCUUCCAUCACAUGUUUAACACUAAGCCUCUCUGAUGGAAUUAAAAAUAGAUGGCUACAGAGGAGCCCACAUCUAUUAAUUGACAUUCAGUCUCUGAAACUUACAACCAUAAAAUUACUGGAGUAACAGACCCAACCAGGCUUUUAUAUGAGUGAGAUUUUCGGUAGAGGCACCAAUUGCACUCUUCAGUAUUUUUCCAUUUUGGCAGAAUUCUGUUAGGAAGUUCAAAUAUAAAAAUAAAUUUAUGAGUCUUAGAAAAACUGGAAAAGAGGAAAGGGUUAAUUUUAAUCCCUCAGGAAAGUGAAAAGCAGAAGGGUUCAUUUUUUCUGAGUUUCUUCAUCAUUGCAAUAUCUGAUCACCUUGGAGUUACUGUUACAAUGACAGUGAAUAAUUGACCUGUUUGUUUGGCAGCGUGAUACAAAAGUGGAAAAGGAAAACCAUUGCACUCUGAGCCUGUCACAGCCUCAAGGGUUAUCUGGCUUGUUGGGAUCACAGCUACUACAAAUCUUGACUUGUAGUCUUGUAGUGGAAAUGCUUUUAGUAAUUAAGACUGAAAUAAAAGAGAGAUGAUCUUUCAGGCUCAUAGUGGGGGACAGGACACAGGCAGCUUUAAUGCUUGAGUGAUAACUAAACUUGCACUGGAAUGUCAUGCAUAUAAUUUUUUUUUAAUUAACAAUUCAGUAGUUUCUAGCAGCAUGUCAAGUGCAUGGAAACUCUUGAACAGCAGACCCAAACUAUGGGCGUAGUUUUAUGAUUCUGUGGAACUGAAGAAGCUGCAUAACCACAUAAACUCACUUAAGCAAAUUUGCAUUUAAAAUGUUCUAUUUUCAGUUUUACUGAGAUGAUGGUCGACACAGAGUAUGUUUGCAAAACAAAUUGACAUGAGAUCAUAACUAUGAUUCCUUAAAAUUCCCAUAUUAUUGUAGAAGCACUGCAGCAUUUCUUUCACUAUAAACUCUUGAACUACUCAGUAUCACAUGAUACUGAGGUUGCAAAAUGUAUUGGAUUUCUUUUUUCAUAUAGAUUCUUAUCGUUAAACCCAUCAUUUUGAGACUGAUGAAUGAGUAAAACAAUAAAGCUGUCAUCAAAAGAGGGAGAACCGUUGACAAAAAAAGUAGGAUUCUGAGCUAAAAAAGAGAAUUAUUCUGCUGAGUAUGGUUUUCCAUGACAGUCAUAGCUGAGAUUAUCAAAGGAAUGCAUGUAUUGAUAUAAUGAUGUAUCUUUGUUCCACAACUAACAUUGUGUUAAUGAUUAAAACCACUGCCCUUCUGACUCAUAUAUAAUUAACCAUGUCUUCUGCCAGUGUUCCUUUGAUGCACGCAAGUACAGAAGUCAAGCUAU
Molecule: long non-coding RNA, 2702 nt
Organism: Passer domesticus (house sparrow)
Lineage: Eukaryota; Metazoa; Chordata; Aves; Passeriformes; Passeridae
Exons: 3
Source: RefSeq, a predicted model, not a curated record